Molecule: non-coding RNA, 78 nt
Organism: Schistosoma haematobium
Lineage: Eukaryota; Metazoa; Platyhelminthes; Trematoda; Strigeidida; Schistosomatidae
Source: Rfam
AGCAUUUCGAAUCCGUGCUGAGAUUUUGUCAGACACUUACCCAUUAGGACUGAUCAGACUUCCAAGAUAUGUGAAGUU